This 972-nucleotide ribosomal RNA is filed under the name Ocellularia chiriquiensis. Its description in RNAcentral is "eukaryotic LSU rRNA". It matches the Rfam family "Eukaryotic large subunit ribosomal RNA", at positions 139 to 1083 of the family's 3401-position model. Lineage: Eukaryota; Fungi; Ascomycota; Lecanoromycetes; Ostropales; Graphidaceae. The record is from RNAcentral.
ACGAGUUGUAUUUGCAGAAGGUGCUUCGGGCGCGGCCGGGUCCAAGUCCCUUGGAACAGGGCGUCCUAGAGGGUGAGAAUCCCGUACGCGACCUGCGGCCAAGCCCGGGUGAAGCCCUUUCGAAGAGUCGAGUUGUUUGGGAAUGCAGCUCAAAACGGGUGGUAAAUUUCAUCUAAAGCUAAAUAUCUGCCGGAGACCGAUAGCGCACAAGUAGAGUGAUCGAAAGAUGAAAAGCACUUUGAAAAGAGAGUCAAACAGUACGUGAAAUUGUUGAAAGGGAAGCGCUUGCAACCAGACUCGUGCGCGGGGGCUCAGCCGUCCCACGGGACGGUGCAUUCUCCCGCGCCCGGGCCAGCAUCAGUUCUGGCGGCCGGAUAAAAGCCCCGGGAACGUGGCUCUCCUCCGAGAGUGUUACAGCCCGGGGCGCAAUGCGGUCAGCCGGGACUGAGGAACGCGCACCGCUAGGAUGCUGGCGUAAUGGUUGCCAGCGACCCGUCUUGAAACACGGACCAAGGAGUCGACCAACUGAGCGAGUGUUUGGGUGUGAAACCCUCUCGCGCAAUCAACGUGAAUCAGGUAGGAGCCCCCGGGCGCACUAUCGACCGAUCUUGAUGUUUUCGGAUGGAUUUGAGUACGAGCUUCGCUGGUCGGACCCGAAAAGUAAGACCCGUCUUUUUUUCCACGGUUGGCGCCUUUGCUAAUUUUUCCACAGAUGGUGAACUAUGCGUGAAUAGGGUGAAGCCAGAGGAAACUCUGGUGGAGGCUCGCAGCGGUUCUGACGUGCAAAUCGAUCGUCAAAUUUGCGCAUAGGGGCGAAAGACUAAUCGAACCAUUUAGUAGCUGGUUCCCGUCGAAGUUUCCCUCAGGAUAGCAGCAACGUGAUCAGUCUCAUGAGGUAGAGCAAACGAUUAGAGGUCUUGGGGUCGAAAUCGACCUUAACCUAUUCUCGAACUUCGAAUAUGUGAGAAGUCC